RNAcentral lists this ribosomal RNA (255 nucleotides) under uncultured bacterium. RNAcentral's name for it is "partial 16S ribosomal RNA". It matches the Rfam family "Bacterial small subunit ribosomal RNA", at positions 524 to 776 of the family's 1533-position model. The record is from RNAcentral.
UACGUAGGGUGCGAGCGUUGUCCGGAAUUAUUGGGCGUAAAGAGCUCGUAGGCGGUGUGUCACGUCGUUCGUGAAAACCUGCAGCUUAACUGUGGGCGUGCGGUCGAUACGGGCAUCACUGGAGUUCGGCAGGGGAGACUGGAAUUCCUGGUGUAGCGGUGAAAUGCGUAGAUAUCUGGAGGAACACCGGUGGCGAAGGCGGCAUCCUGGACCACGACUGACGCUGAGUGAGCGAAAGCCAGGGGAGCAAACGGG